CCUGGAUGUUCCUGGCCCGGCUGGCUUCCAAUCACAAUCCUCAGAUCUCAGCCUCCUGAGUGGCUAGGAUGACAGGCCUGAGCCACCAGCACCCAACUGAAUGGUGGGCUUUUACAAUAUUUUUUUCUGUGGUAAAGAGUGGGAAAUUACAAGAGCAUGAUAGAGCAAAGCAAAACUUUCAGACACUGGAGAGUCAAGACGGCCAAGGCAUCUUACCUACACACACACACACACACACACACACACACACACACACACUCCCA
Molecule: long non-coding RNA, 263 nt
Organism: Perognathus longimembris pacificus (Pacific pocket mouse)
Lineage: Eukaryota; Metazoa; Chordata; Mammalia; Rodentia; Heteromyidae
Exons: 3
Source: RefSeq, a predicted model, not a curated record